GUGCUUGCUUCAGCAGCAUUUAUUCUAAAAUCAGAAUAAUACAUAGAAGAUUCGCAUGGAUCCCAUGGAAGGAUGACAUGCAAAUCAUGAAGCAGUCCAUAUUAGG
Molecule: small nuclear RNA, 106 nt
Organism: Monodelphis domestica (gray short-tailed opossum)
Lineage: Eukaryota; Metazoa; Chordata; Mammalia; Didelphimorphia; Didelphidae
Source: Ensembl